Molecule: long non-coding RNA, 398 nt
Organism: Diceros bicornis minor
Lineage: Eukaryota; Metazoa; Chordata; Mammalia; Perissodactyla; Rhinocerotidae
Exons: 2
Source: RefSeq, a predicted model, not a curated record
GUGGGGGGUGGGGUGAUUUCAAAAGAGAGGGUGGCUGAGAAAAAGCGUUGGAAAGGGGCAACGGAGCCCAUAUUCUCUGAGCCCCUUCUGCGUGCCAGGCGCGCACACCUCAGGGAAGCUGCUGUCCCCUGGAGAUGGCCUUGUGACAUUCUCGCGCCAGGGUCGGACAGGCUGUACAAGGGAAAUAGCAUCGUCUGCGUUUUAUUGAUGAGGAAACUAAGGCUCGGAGAGAUUUCGUGACUGGCCCAAUUCAUCAUGUUAGAAAGUAGCAGAACUGAGCCUCCAGCCCUAACACGUCUGACGCCGUGUCUGAUUCCAAAAUCCACUGCAAUUGGUUCAUGACAAGUUCACACCCAUUAUGAACACAUUAAAUAUAUUAUAACUGUUUGAGCAUGUCA